RNAcentral lists this ribosomal RNA (480 nucleotides) under uncultured bacterium. RNAcentral's name for it is "partial 16S ribosomal RNA". It matches the Rfam family "Bacterial small subunit ribosomal RNA", at positions 28 to 523 of the family's 1533-position model. The record is from RNAcentral.
GACGAACGCUGGCGGCGUGCCUAACACAUGCAAGUCGAGCGAAUGAAGUUCCUUCGGGAACGGAUUUAGCGGCGGACGGGUGAGUAACACGUGGUCAACCUGCCUCAUAGAGGGGAAUAGCCUUCCGGAAGGGAGAUUAAUAACGCAUAAGGUUGUAGUACCGCAUGGUACAGCAAUUAUAGUAGCAAUUCGCUAUGAGAUGGGCCCGCGGCGCAUUAGCUAGUUGGUGAGGUAACGGCUCACCAAGGCGACGAUGCGUAGCCCACCGGAGAGGGUGAGCGGCAACAUUGGGACUGAGACACGGCCCAGACUCCUACGGGAGGCAGCAGUGGGGAAUAUUGCAAAAUGGGGGAAACCCUGAUGCAGCAACGCCGCGUGAGUGAUGACGGCCUUCGGGUUGUAAAGCUCUGUCUUCAGGGACGAUAAUGACGGUACCUGAGGAGGAAGCCACGGCUAACUACGUGCCAGCCGCCGCCGUAA